This 468-nucleotide ribosomal RNA is filed under the name uncultured bacterium. RNAcentral describes it as "partial 16S ribosomal RNA". It matches the Rfam family "Bacterial small subunit ribosomal RNA", at positions 28 to 507 of the family's 1533-position model. The record is from RNAcentral.
GACGAACGCUGGCGGCGUGCUUAACACAUGCAAGUCGAACGGAAAGGCCCUGCUUUUGUGGGGUGCUCGAGUGGCGAACGGGUGAGUAACACGUGAGUAACCUGCCCUUGACUUUGGGAUAACUUCAGGAAACUGGGGCUAAUACCGGAUAGGAGCUCCUGCUGCAUGGUGGGGGUUGGAAAGUUUCGGCGGUUGGGGAUGGACUCGCGGCUUAUCAGCUUGUUGGUGGGGUAGUGGCUUACCAAGGCUUUGACGGGUAGCCGGCCUGAGAGGGUGACCGGCCACAUUGGGACUGCGAUACGGCCCAGACUCCUACGGGAGGCAGCAGGGGGGAAUAUUGCACAAUGGGCGGAAGCCUGAUGCAGCAACGCCGCGUGCGGGAUGACGGCCUUCGGGUUGUAAACCGCUUUCGCCUGUGACGAAGCGUGAGUGACGGUAAUGAGUAAAGAAGCACCGGCUAACUACGUG